UACGUAGGUGGCAAGCGUUAUCCGGAAUUAUUGGGCGUAAAGCGCGCGUAGGCGGUUUCUUAAGUCUGAUGUGAAAGCCCACGGCUCAACCGUGGAGGGUCAUUGGAAACUGGGAAACUUGAGUGCAGAAGAGGAAGGUGGAAUUCCAUGUGUAGCGGUGAAAUGCGCAGAGAUAUGGAGGAACACCAGUGGCGAAGGCGACUUUCUGGUCUGUAACUGACGCUGAUGUGCGAAAGCGUGGGGAUCAAACAGGAUUAGAU
This 260-nucleotide ribosomal RNA is filed under the name uncultured Staphylococcus sp. RNAcentral describes it as "partial 16S ribosomal RNA". It matches the Rfam family "Bacterial small subunit ribosomal RNA", at positions 524 to 783 of the family's 1533-position model. Lineage: Bacteria; Bacillati; Bacillota; Bacilli; Caryophanales; Staphylococcaceae. The record is from RNAcentral.